UGCAGGGCUUGAUCGAACCUUUCCUGUGCUGCAAUUUCCUGGAAGACCGCGGUGUGGCCGUCCACUUCUGCAUGACCUUCUCAGAACGGCCCCGACGCGGAAAGUUGAACUUGACCUUUAACAAAGGUUCGAGCUCGUGGCCAAAAAAUUCCGCGCCCCACAGAGAGAGGGUAGAAGAGGCAAGACGUGGGGCGUUGGGUUCAAGGCACAGACGGUCCCAUCGCCAGCAGCCGAGCGGUCGAGCCUGGACCCCCAUUCCCCCCGCCCAACCCUCCGUGGUCGCCCCACGCAGGCCCAGCAGGACCCUGGCCAGACACCCAAGGCCAGAGUGGGUCUCCCUUACUCUCCUUGGCGGUGGCCACGCCUUGUCUACACUGACGCUGAAGGACGUGGUUGUAUAUCCUACUUGGAGGUCCUACUGGGUGUUUUAUGUGGGACGCCGCCUCAGCGUGGCCUCAAGAGCAGUGCCAGGUCCGCGCCCAGGAUCCGAACCGGCCAGCCCCGGGGCCACCUAAGCAGAGUGCACGACCUGCAGCGCUCAGCCGCGGGGCCGGCCCCGCCAUGGGGCUCUUCUGGGACGUGAGUCUGGAAGGCCAGGAGCUCGCUGACUGCAGACGGGUUUCCCAAUUCUCCGCGAUGAGCACACCCCACAGGAAGGGGGAGGGAAUUAAGGAGAAAAAGGAAGGUUCCGGGUCGUCGAGAUGUCUGUGCCGUGCAAUCCUCGCGCUCACUCUGACGACGGGGGGCGGGGGGCGGGCGGGGGACAGACGGGCCCAGAGACACCGGCCAGAUGUCGGCGCGUCAGGAAACACAGCCCAGGAGAGCCGGCUGACGGACGCGGGCCCGGUGCUGCGCGCUCGGGGUAAGCCGAUCCCCUUCCCUUCCUUCCGUGGUCUUCCCCGCGGUCCGUGCUGCUGGGGCUGGAGGCGAGGCCUCCGGGCGGGUGAGGACCCGAGGGUGGGCCAUGCGAGCGACCGGAGGAAGGAUGCUCCGUGCAAGACGGUCACUGGGGGCUGCCCUGAAUCCAGCUCCGAAUUCGCCCCGGGAAUUACCCAGCAUGCAUCUGCAGCCGGCGGAGCUCCCCCCCCCCCACCCCGGGGUGCCCGUGCAUGUCGGAAACGGCAGCCAGCUUGCACCCCCGUCCCCAGGCGUGUGCACGUGGUCCCCCCCAAACCCCGGAGGGAGGAGACGGGGGUCCCCGCCUCCUGGGGGCUCGUCCUGCCAUCCGUCGAUCCAUCUGAAAGUCGCUUGCAAACAAGUGUGGCCGGCCUGGCUGGGAGGUGUGUCAUUGGGGCCUGCCGGUGGUGUUCCAUGCCCCACCCCACCCCCCCACCCAGCAUGGGGAUUUGAACCAGCAGCUGGGUGUCAGAUGCCACCCAGACCCGCAGAGUCUGAGUCUGCGUGUCCCGGCGGCCACCCCAGGUGUUUGUUGAGCGCUUUCAGAUGGGGCAUCGAGGCCCAGCUGGCGGGAGCCGAGCGUUUUCAUGCCAGCCCUGUGCCUCUAGGAAGCUCACAGCUAGAAAAGCAGAAGGAAAACCUGGCGAGGGGUGAGCACAGAAAGAAGAAGAGAAAGCGGGAGGCCCUGGGUCCCGGAGGCCACAAUGUAGGUUGUGUGCCGUGGAGACGAAGCGGGUAGAACGGGCCGUUCCAAAACCAGGAGGCCGAUUCGGGGGUGUCCAGGGGCCGGGAGGCAGAUUGGGGGGUGACCGCCGAAUGGGGACGGAAAUGGAAAUGGGCUGGAGCCACACGGGCGAGAUGGUCGCACAACCCGGCGAACGUGGCUGAAUUGCGCGCUGCAAGAGGGUCCCCUUGGGGCCCUGUGCAUUUUGCCUCUAUUUUAAAAAAAAAAAAUGAAGGCAAAAAAAAUGAAUAAAUAAAUGAGAAAGAGCAAUGAGAUCUCCCUAGACGUCCCACAUAUAAAGUAGACGAAGAUGGGCAUGGAUGUGAGCUCAGGGUCAGUCUUCUUCAGCAAAAAAAAAAAAAAAAAAAAAAAGAGGAGGAGUGGCAGCAGAUGUUAGCUCAGGGCUAAUCUUCCUCACCAGAAAAAAAAAAAAAGAGCCCUGUGCUAUGAAUGACCGUUUGUUUAAAACAGCCGCCCUGGCAUAGCGUCGCUGUGCCUGGCGCCAGAACGUCAAGCGUCUCUGGGGCCUUAGAUCACUGCGGUGGUUUUUUUUUUUUUUUUUUGAAAAACCAAGUUUACAGAAGUGGGUGUUUUUGCUCCAUCAGGAUGAGCAAGAAGCAACCAGGGGGAGUUCAGCCAAGAGGAAGCAGAAUGGGGAACCGUGUCGGCGAGGGUGGAUCUCCUGUGGUCAUGGGGGGGGGGGGGUCGCUCCCUCGGAGUUGGGACGCGGCCGUGGGGCCCAGCUGGAGGGGGGGGUCGGUCCGCGAAGCAGGUGCAACCAGAGGUGUGGACCCGACAGGCUCCCGGGGCGAAGGGAAGGACGGGGACGGCAGCCGCUGGAGACCUAAGACGUCUCCGAAGUGGGGGUGUCCCGUCCCCCCCCCUCGGCCGGCCAGCUGGGGCAGCUCGGCUGCAAGUGCAAAGGUCCUGGGGCAGAUCGCAGAGUGAACAGCCGGCCAGGGGCAGGACAGGAAGGGCAAAGGGGAUCGUGCAUCCGCGGGGAGGAGGGAGGGACCCUCCCCUGGAGCCUGCGGGGGGUGGGGGUGGGGGUGGGGGGAGCCCGACCCUGCAACCCUUGACCUCAGAGUCCUGGUGGCAGUUGUUUGAGGCCCGCCCCCCCAGUGUGGGGGGUUUGUGAGGGCCGCCACCAGAGACUGACACACACGGGGGUGGAGAGACCAGCAUGACGGUCCCCAAGCCCUCACACAGGGGUUCCGCCCCCUCCCCCGCCGCCCAGGUCUGGGGGGACCCCAUGCGCGUCCAGAACUCAGGCCCCCUCCUGGACCGGAGGCGGCGUGGACGUUUCCCCCCCCCACCCAGGCCCCCACCCCGUGUGCAGAGAAGCCCGAGGAGCCCCGGAGGGAGGAGGACGGCGCGGCGAGGCGGGGCGGGUGCAGCCGGCAGGUGGAGGAAGCGGGCGUUUCCUCCCCACCAGGGGGGCCGGGAGGCGGGGCAGUUGGAGCGGGUCUGGGGUGUGGGGUGUGGUUGGGACCCUCUCUCCAAUCGCGAGGGAGGUUCCCCGGGGGGCGGUGGUGGCGGGGGGCGCAGGGAUCUGAGGGUGCACGGGGGGGCCGCCCAGGUGCGCGCGCACCUGGAGGGGGAGUGCGGUCGGAGGGCGCAGCGCGGGGCUGCAGGUGCUGCAGGGUUUGGGGUUUAGACGGAGCCGGUGUGACCCUCCCUGGGCGGGGUCAAAGGGGAAGGAGGCGGGUUGGUGGAAGUCACGGGAAAAGGUGCGGGGGAGACAGAAAAGAGGGUCGGGGAGUGCGGUGAGUGAGGGGUGUCCGGGGGCGCGAGGAGGGUCGCGGUGUGGACGGGCCUCGGAGAGGAGGCCGACCGGGUGAUGACGGGUCGGGGGCAUUGAGUGCCAGGUGGAGGCGGGCGGGGGGAGUGCGGGUCUUGGCGGAGGGAGGGGGCUCACGGGGAGGCGGGAGGCCGGUGUAGACGCCGACGUCAGCCCGGGUGACACCGACGAUGGGCGUGCAUCCAGGAGGGGAGGCCUGGGGAGAGCGAGGAGCGGGGCUCAGAGGUCGGGGGGUCGUCAGAGGUGGGGGGCCCUGCGGUUGACCCCUGACCCAGGGUGGAGCCGGGCUGCGGGGGAGCCCGGAUGUGCUGAACUGGACACGCGGGACAGGGAGCAGCCGUGUCCUCGGGCGGAGCCGAGUUGCACCUGAGUCAGGCGGGUCGAGGACGCGGGCGGGUGAAGACAGGACGGGCUGUGAGGACCAGGAAAUGGGGGUCCGAGGAGCGGCAGGGGUGCGGGCGGGACAGCGGGGCCUCCAACGGGCAGACACAACACGGGAGGAAGGGAGGAAGGAAUGGAGCAGGGGGGUGGCUCUGAGGGAGGAAGGAGGGGUUGGAAGAUGGGGGGUGGAAGGAAAGAAGGAAAGAUGGAUCGAUAGAUGGAUGUAUAGACGGAUGGAUGGAUGGAUAGAUGGAUGGAUGGAUGGAUAAAUGGAUGGAUAGAUGGAUGGAUGGAUGGAUGGAUGGAUGGAUGGAUAGAUGGAU
Equus caballus (horse) is the source of this 4126-nucleotide long non-coding RNA. The record is from Ensembl. Lineage: Eukaryota; Metazoa; Chordata; Mammalia; Perissodactyla; Equidae.